GACGAACGCUGGCGGCGUGCUUAACACAUGCAAGUCGAACGGUAAGGCCCUUCGGGGUACACGAGUGGCGAACGGGUGAGUAACACGUGGGUGAUCUGCCCUGCACUUCGGGAUAAGCCUGGGAAACUGGGUCUAAUACCGGAUAGGACCACUGCCUGCAUGGGGGGUGGUGGAAAGCUUUUGCGGUGUGGGAUGGGCCCGCGGCCGAUCAGCUUGGUGGUGGGGUGAUGGCCUACCAAGGCGACGACGGGUAGCCGGCCUGGGAGGGUGACCGGCCACACUGGGACUGAGUUACGGCCCAGACUCCUACGGGAGGCAGCAGUGGGGAAUAUUGCACAAUGGGCGCAAGCCUGAUGCAGCGACGCCGCGUGAGGGAUGACGGCCUUCGGGUUGUAAACCUCUUUCAGCAUCGACGAAGCGCAAGUGACGGUAGGUGCAGAAGAAGGACCGGCCAACUACGUGCCAGCCGCCGCGGUAA
Molecule: ribosomal RNA, 478 nt
Filed under: uncultured bacterium
Lineage: Bacteria
Description: partial 16S ribosomal RNA
Rfam family: Bacterial small subunit ribosomal RNA
Source: RNAcentral